UUGAGUGAAUGUGAAGGUAACAACAGGCAAAGCAAAAGUGGUGGUUGCAUCUUGCAACAAGCCAACAAACAAUUCAUCAUAAAUAAAUAUCAUAAAAGUAUUAGAUUCCCAACUGCAAAAGCUUUAAAGAAAAUAAUAAUUAAAAAAAAAAAAAAAAAAAAAAACACAACCGCCCAUCCUUUCUCAUCUAAGAAUAAUAAUAGUAUAUACAGUAAAAUCUUACGAGAUUUCGUUAAACUGCCAAGAUAAGAUUAAAUAAUUUAAUGAAAAUUCAAUUGUUCUAUUAAAUCCCGAAAAGUCCAGCAAAAAAACUCUCUAAAAGGCAUGAUAACAUAAUAUUUCCGGGUCGACCCGAUAAGUUAUUAGGGAUACCAAAUAUCAAACAAAAAAUACAAUUAUUUAGUUAAUCAUGGCUAAUUUUCCCGACUAAACGGGGCCUAAAUAAACUGUAUAAUUGGGCUAUCCAGGGACGUACGCUCAUUUUUACGGGUCGAUCUGAAAAGUUAUUGGACUGACCAAAUAUUAUUAUUAAAUAAGCUCAUGAUUUUUCUUACGAACGAAACGAGGCAUAAGUUCAAGAAAUCGAAUGAUGGGCUUUUGCUUAAAGUAUAAAGGAAUCAAGAUUCAGGUUUUGAAUGUGUAGACCCCAAGCAAAAGCCAAUCGUCUAAAGUGCAUUCUUCACCCCCACAUCAUCAAUUUCAUCAUGCAAUAGUAUCCCUUCUGGGAUUGGGAUAUAAAGAGAUAAAAAAAAUAAAGAUAAAGGUACAUAAAUAUGCAAGCAUAAUUCCCGAGUAGAUACGAAAAAGAAUACUCGAGAGGGCAUAAGUUUCGUAUAUAAUUGUGGGAAUCGAGUAGAGACGAAAUAUCUCAAUCUUUUGGCAAAAAGCAGAGCCAAGCUUUUCAGCCUGGUGAUCCUGAUGACUAUUCUUUGAAUGAUUCUUCGCCACUUCUUUCCCUUUCGGUUUUUUGAAGAAUGCUAAUUCCCGCCUUUUCCACCAAAGGAAGAAGCAACUAUAACACAAUCUUCUAGGUCUCGUUUGGUUGCCAGGAUAGGAUUAGUUAAGAUGAGAUUAUGGGGUCUUAUGAGAACUCGAUAGUGUAAUUGUGUAAUCGUUGCACUUCUUAUCAACCAAACGAGGCCUACAGCUACGUGAAUUACGACCGGAAUCAAAAUGCUUACCAACUAAAUUAUCCUGUUGAAAGCGUCGGCUCAAGUAAAUCUUCACAAAAAGAUAACACACACACACACACACAAAACCAUCAGCCCAAACGAAAUCAGUUUUGGAAAGAUAAAACUAUGUACUAAACACCAAACGCUUUUCAAUACGCAUGCUUAAUAAAUCCGUUCAUUUACUUAGGUGGUGUUUGCAACAGCUUAUUUAAAAGCAGAAGUUAGUGAUUGUGAGUUAAGUUGGAAUUAAGUGCUUAUUUCUAAAAGUUGGGGGUGUUUGCAAAUUAGCUGGAAAAUAAACUGAAUUCGAAAAAGCAGGUACAUGGGUGCUUUAAAAAUUAUAGCUUAAAGCAGCUUAUUUUAAGAGA
Molecule: long non-coding RNA, 1540 nt
Filed under: Erythranthe guttata (spotted monkey flower)
Lineage: Eukaryota; Viridiplantae; Streptophyta; Magnoliopsida; Lamiales; Phrymaceae
Description: long non-coding RNA (EGUT_LNC001592)
Source: RNAcentral